RNAcentral lists this ribosomal RNA (472 nucleotides) under Helvella vespertina. Its description in RNAcentral is "eukaryotic LSU rRNA". The stretch from base 116 to 269 matches the Rfam family "5.8S ribosomal RNA". The record is from RNAcentral. Lineage: Eukaryota; Fungi; Ascomycota; Pezizomycetes; Pezizales; Helvellaceae.
GAGCACAACGAUGCCGACAAAUGCACCUGUAGAACUCACCACCCCGGCCGUCUGAUGCCCGGCGCACCGAUCAGGGCGCAGGGAGCCAGGACGUGGACCGCAAACGGAUAGAAAAAACUUUCAACAACGGAUCUCUUGGUUCCCGCAUCGAUGAAGAACGCAGCGAAAUGCGAUAAGUAAUGUGAAUUGCAGAAUUCAGUGAAUCAUCGAAUCUUUGAACGCACAUUGCGCCCCCUGGCAUUCCAGGGCGCAUGCCUGUUCGAGCGUGUCCGAGAAGUAGGCUCACGCGUGGAAACGCGUGGUUGUGGUGGCGGCGGCGGUCCCGACAGGGCGGCCAUCCCGGCGGAAUCGAUGGGCGGAUGCCUGCCGCUUCGCAGAGCGUGAUAUUCUUUGCUAUCGCCUCGAGGGCGGCGAGGUGUCCAGCCAGCGCAUCCAUGCACGGCGGGGAGAAUGUGACAUUGGAACUCCUCGA